AUUGAACGCUGGCGGCAGGCCUAACACAUGCAAGUCGAACGAGUGGCGGACGGGUGAGUAAUGUCUGGGAAACUGCCCGAUGGAGGGGGAUAACUACUGGAAACGGUAGCUAAUACCGCAUACCAUCGGAUGUGCCCAGAUGGGAUUAGCUAGUAGGUGGGGUAACGGCUCACCUAGGCGACGAUCCCUAGCUGGUCUGAGAGGAUGACCAGCCACACUGGAACUGAGACACGUUCCAGACUCCUACGGGAGGCAGAAGUGGGGAAUAUUGCACAAUGGGCGCAAGCCUGAUGCAGCCAGGCCGCGUGUAUGAAGAAGGCCUUCGGGUUGUAAAGUACUUUCAGCGAGGAGGAGUUACUCGUAGAAGAAGCACAGGCUAACUACGUGCCAGCAGCCGCGGUAAUAC
This 406-nucleotide ribosomal RNA is filed under the name uncultured bacterium. Its description in RNAcentral is "partial 16S ribosomal RNA". It matches the Rfam family "Bacterial small subunit ribosomal RNA", at positions 30 to 526 of the family's 1533-position model. The record is from RNAcentral.